RNAcentral lists this ribosomal RNA (558 nucleotides) under Scleropezicula sp. J7. RNAcentral's name for it is "eukaryotic LSU rRNA". The stretch from base 190 to 343 matches the Rfam family "5.8S ribosomal RNA". Lineage: Eukaryota; Fungi; Ascomycota; Leotiomycetes; Helotiales; Dermateaceae. The record is from RNAcentral.
GGGGGCCAUCAUACGCGGAGAGAGUCAUUACAGAGAUCAUGCCCUCACGGGUAGACCUCCCACCCUGUGUAAUUUACUCUUGUUGCUUUGGCAGGCCGCCUUCGGGCUCCCGGCUUCGGCUGGGGUGCGCCUGCCAGAGGACCUCAACUCUAUGUUUUAGUGUCGUCUGAGUACUAUAUAAUAAGUUAAAACUUUCAACAACGGAUCUCUUGGUUCUGGCAUCGAUGAAGAACGCAGCGAAAUGCGAUAAGUAAUGUGAAUUGCAGAAUUCAGUGAAUCAUCGAAUCUUUGAACGCACAUUGCGCCCCUUGGUAUUCCGGGGGGCAUGCCUGUUCGAGCGUCAUUUCAACCCUCAAGCUCAGCUUGGUCUUGGGCCCUGCCGGUAAAACGGCUGGCCUUAAAAGCAGUGGCGGUGCUAUCGAGCUCUACGCGUAGUAAUAAAACCCUCGCGACGGAGACUGGAUGGACGCUGGCCAGCAACCCCAACUUUUCUAUGGUUGACCUCGGAUCAGGUAGGGAUACCCGCUGAACUUAAGCAUAUCAAUAAGCCGGGAGGAA